CGAUCUCCAGAUCUGUUGAUCGUUUCGCCUGCCAAGUUACACGAUCGUUGCACUAGCUACACGGUGGAAUCCGCUCACUGGACCGACUUCAUUGGAUCAGAAUCGAUCGGGGUGAAUGAAUUCAAGGGUAUCCGCUCACUGGACUGACUUCAUUGAUUGUUAGGUGAUCAGAUUAAAUCAGGCCUUUGUCAUCAGUUUGGACUUUCACUGCCAAUUGCAUCAUCAGGCGAGCGUGUCUUCCAUGCCAUGUGAAAUUACCGAAAACGUAACCUGGAGGAGGCACAUCCACAUGGAAGCUAACUGUGAAAGUCUUCUUUUCGCCGUAUUUCUCGAAGACCAGAACUUCUGGUGUUACUGUCACGUUGAUGCCUCGAGGAGCAGACACCACAGCACGGUAUGGUAUGGUGAUCGAUGGGUAGUUCAAAGCAGUAGCAGAAGAGGGAGCUCUGUCGGUACAGGCUGUGCGUCAAAGAUGAUCCCUGGGUUGAGAGCUUUGACGGGAUCCAUAAAACCCGAGCCGAAGUCAAAUGGGGUUGCAGUCCUCCCAUCAGGGUCCGUGGUCAUGGGUUUUCUUUUGUUAUCCAGUACAGUUGCUGCAAAUAAGAUUCGUGAGAUUUUUUGCAACCCUAGUUUGUCUUCAGAACAUGAUCCAGUUAUCCACUGAUACCUGUUGUCAUGAUUGCUGAUUUGAUUGCUGAAGGAGACCAUGAUGGAUAUACACUUUUGACGAGAGCUGCUAUUCCAGUAACAUGGGGACACGCCAUGGAAGUUCCAGAUAGGAUGUUGAAGUGCAUGUCAUUCUUAGCAGGAGACCAUGCCGCCAAGAUGUUCAGCCCAGGAGCAGCGACAUCCGGCUACAAAAUGCAGAUAUGGAGAAGGAAGUAAGAAACAUAUAAAUCAAUUUAGGAUCCAGCAGUCUUUCCCUAGUUUAAUGCUGGUUACCUUCAGAAUCUCUGGUGUCAAUGAACUUGGACCUCUUGAAGAGAAUGCGGCUACACGGGGGGCAUCUCGGGACCCUAAGAACGUCUUCGCUGGCAAGAUCAUUGUACUGGCAUGCCUGUAGAAUUUAUUUUAGAAAAAAGAUUGACAUGCCAAUAAAAUGCCCUUUCUGUUGUUCGUGUGACAACCUUGUACUCUUGGUGUAAGAAAGAAUUUUGUCGCCCAUUGCUUUCCCAACAGCAGUAGCAGGAAGAGCAAAGUGAUUAGCAACAUGAUCCCCCAUCUCAUCGA
Long non-coding RNA from Phragmites australis (common reed), 1230 nucleotides. RefSeq lists it as uncharacterized. Lineage: Eukaryota; Viridiplantae; Streptophyta; Magnoliopsida; Poales; Poaceae. The transcript has 4 exons. The record is from RefSeq and is a predicted model, not a curated record.